Molecule: ribosomal RNA, 272 nt
Filed under: uncultured Staphylococcus sp.
Lineage: Bacteria; Bacillati; Bacillota; Bacilli; Caryophanales; Staphylococcaceae
Description: partial 16S ribosomal RNA
Rfam family: Bacterial small subunit ribosomal RNA
Source: RNAcentral
CGUUAGCGGCGGACGGGUGAGUAACACGUGGGUAACCUACCUAUAAGACUGGGAUAACUUCGGGAAACCGGAGCUAAUACCGGAUAAUAUUUCGAACCGCAUGGUUCGAUAGUGAAAGAUGGUUUUGCUAUCACUUAUAGAUGGACCCGCGCCGUAUUAGCUAGUUGGUAAGGUAACAGCUUACCAAGGCGACGAUACGUAGCCGACCUGAGAGGGUGAUCGGCCACACUGGAACUGAGACACGGUCCAGACUCCUACGGGAGGCAGCAGCC